AGUAGUUUGAUCAUGGCUCGAGGACGAACGCUGGCGGCGUGCUUAACACAUGCAAGUCGAACGGGCACUUCGGUGUCAGUGGCGAACGGGUGAGUAACGCGUGAGGAACCUGGCUUUUGCAGGGGGAUAGCGUUUCGAAAGGGACGGUAAUACCGCAUAAGACCACAUUGCCGCAUGGCAGAGGGGUCAAAGGAGAAAUCCGGCAGAAGAUGGACUCGCGUCCCAUUAGGCAGUUGGCGGGGUAAAAGCCCACCAAACCGACGAUGGGUAGCCGACCUGAGAGGGUGAUCGGCCACAUUGGAACUGAGAGACGGUCCAAACUCC
This 324-nucleotide ribosomal RNA is filed under the name uncultured Coriobacteriales bacterium. Its description in RNAcentral is "bacterial SSU rRNA". It matches the Rfam family "Bacterial small subunit ribosomal RNA", at positions 1 to 339 of the family's 1533-position model. The record is from RNAcentral. Lineage: Bacteria; Bacillati; Actinomycetota; Coriobacteriia; Coriobacteriales.